GAUGAAGAACGUAGCGAAAUGCGAUAAGUAAUGUGAAUUGCAGAAUUCAGUGAAUCAUCGAAUCUUUGAACGCAUCUUGCGCUCCUUGGUAUUCCUUGGAGCAUGCCUGUUUGAGUAUCAUGAGCAAAUCUCAAAGUCAAUUCCUUUUGUUAAUUCAAUUGGUUUUGCUUUGGACUUGGAGGUCUUGCAGAUUUUCACAGUCUGCUCCUCUUAAAUGCAUUAGCUGGAUCUCAGUAAUUAUGCUUGGUUCCACUCGGCGUGAUAAGUAUCACUCGCUGAGGACACUGUUAAAAAGGUGGCCAGGAAAAUACUGAUUGAACCGCUUCUAACGGUCUAUUAAGUUAGACAAUUACCCUUAAGUUUGAUCUCAAAUCAGGUAGGACUACCCGCUGAACUUAAGCAUAUCAUAAGCGGAGGA
Molecule: unclassified non-coding RNA, 418 nt
Filed under: soil metagenome
Description: partial contains 5.8S ribosomal RNA, internal transcribed spacer 2, and large subunit ribosomal RNA
Rfam family: 5.8S ribosomal RNA (bases 1-120)
Source: RNAcentral